RNAcentral lists this long non-coding RNA (1283 nucleotides) under Homo sapiens (human). RNAcentral's name for it is "long intergenic non-protein coding RNA 343". The record is from RNAcentral. Lineage: Eukaryota; Metazoa; Chordata; Mammalia; Primates; Hominidae.
GGGCAAAGGGAACAAAGAGGCACUUGGCUCACCCUAGAUCAAGAGGAGAGGCUCUCCAGAUUUGCUGACCUAGAAGGAUAAGUCUGAAAUACCCUUGGCUGUGUACAUUUGAGUAAAGAGAGCACUAUAAAAUCAAAAACCAAUGAAAUGGUUUCCAGAACACAGAACUAUUAAGCUUAAGAAAAGGACAGAAGGAACUGAAGAGAGAGGAACUGUUUUGGAGCAUCACACUUCCACCUCAGAAGAAAUAAGGAAGGAAGGAGGAGGGUGUUCCCACGGCUCUUCAACCAGGCCGGCUCUUCAGCCUACAUCCCCAUCUCAUCAAGUAAAAGGGAUUUUUCAACUGGACCAACCAGAUGGUUUAACAGUGCACUCCCACACCAUUCAACUACGCAAGGGAGAUACACUUAACAUAUGCAGUCGUAUAACACCUACUAACAUUUUCAAACAUUAAACCUUUAAAAAAGAGUUCUAAAGAAAUAGAAGCUUGAAGUAUCAUCUCUCAAGUAUAUAGACACUACUUCAUGGUGUGGUAAUAUAUGCAUAUAGAAGCUAGUAAACACCUCCAGGAGAUGCAAAAGGAAUUAGAACUGCCACAAGGUGCAAGCAAAACCUUGAGCUUCUUUAAAAUAUGAAGACUUCGAAGUUAUUUAUCCAAACCAACCUGAUCAUUUCUUAAGAGUGAAUAUACCUUGGAAGACGUGUCCUGCCUUUAGUAGCGUCACAAUGGAUUACAUCCUCUAUAAAGCAGUCUGGGAGGCUAACAUCUGCCACAAGACAAAUAUGGUGCCUGCCCCCAUGGAGCUCAUAUUCGAAUGGAGAAAAUGUCAACAAGUAUCCCACGGAGUGAACACUUCAAAAGGAGAAGCACAGGUGAGAAAAUCGAAUUUGGACACCGUUGAGGAGACUAUUGCAGUCAUCCAAGCUCAAGAUGGUGGAGCUUCAUCCUUGAGAAUAACCAAUGGGGAUAGAUUUAAGAGACACUUAGAGUCUGCAGCCAACAGGGCUGAAUGAGCAGAGAGUUAUGAUUCAGAAGAUCAUCUAAAAUUGAACAGCUGCCACUACUGGCAAUAAGUCUACUGCCAUUUGGUAGAUAACCUUCUUAUCACACAGAAAAAUAUCAGUACAGACAAAUAGACCGCAAAGAAAAUGAGACCAUCAGCAAAGAAGAUAAAGAAGUUUGUACAAAGCAACUUUUUAUAAAUGGAUGGCUGUCAGGCAAAAAUAAAUUUCCUGUGGACAAGACCAAGAGCAAGGCAAGAGGAAAAUAAACAUGUUUAAAC